Molecule: small nuclear RNA, 107 nt
Organism: Ictidomys tridecemlineatus (thirteen-lined ground squirrel)
Lineage: Eukaryota; Metazoa; Chordata; Mammalia; Rodentia; Sciuridae
Source: Ensembl
GUGCUUGCUUCGACAGCACUUACACUAAAAUUGGAAUGAUACAUAGAAGAUUAGCAUGGCCCCUGCACAAGGAUGAAACACAAAUUUGUGAAGUGUUCCAUAUUUUU